AGCGAACGCUGGCGGCAGGCCUAACACAUGCAAGUCGAACGGAUCCUUCGGGAUUAGUGGCGGACGGGUGAGUAACACGUGGGAACGUGCCCUUUGGUUCGGAACAACUCAGGGAAACUUGAGCUAAUACCGGAUGUGCCCUUCGGGGGAAAGAUUUAUCGCCAUUGGAGCGGCCCGCGUCUGAUUAGCUAGUUGGUGAGGUAAAGGCUCACCAAGGCGACGAUCAGUAGCUGGUCUGAGAGGAUGAUCAGCCACAUUGGGACUGAGACACGGCCCAGACUCCUACGGGAGGCAGCAGUGGGAAUAUUGGACGAAUGGGCGAAAGCCUGAUCCAGCAAUGCCGCGUGAGUGAUG
RNAcentral lists this ribosomal RNA (354 nucleotides) under uncultured bacterium. RNAcentral describes it as "bacterial SSU rRNA". It matches the Rfam family "Bacterial small subunit ribosomal RNA", at positions 29 to 410 of the family's 1533-position model. The record is from RNAcentral.